This 301-nucleotide ribosomal RNA is filed under the name uncultured bacterium. RNAcentral describes it as "partial 16S ribosomal RNA". It matches the Rfam family "Bacterial small subunit ribosomal RNA", at positions 509 to 809 of the family's 1533-position model. The record is from RNAcentral.
CAGUCGCCGCGGGAAUACGGAGGGUGCAAGCGUUAAUCGGAAUUACUGGGCGUAAAGCGCACGCAGGCGGUCUGACAAGUCAGAUGUGAAAUCCCCGGGCUUAACCUGGGAACUGCAUUUGAAACUGUCAGGCUGGAGUCUUGUAGAGGGGGGUAGAAUUCCAGGUGUAGCGGUGAAAUGCGUAGAGAUCUGGAGGAAUACCGGUGGCGAAGGCGGCCCCCUGGACAAAGACUGACGCUCAGGUGCGAAAGCGUGGGGAGCAAACAGGAUUAGAUACCCCUGUAGUCCCUGUCUCUUAUAA